ACUCACCAAGGACUAGUUAGACCUUAGAAACAAUCGAACACUAUAGCACACUAAGAAAACACUGAUGAAAGAAUGCAAGAUCCUUUCUAUUGUAAGAACAAUGUGGCUAUGUACACAUGUGCUUGAGUAGCUUGUUGGUUCACAAGUUCACAGGUUCAUGAGUUGGUCUUAUAAAGGAACGGGCACCCGUAUAUAUACUUAAGCCCUCAUAGCCUAUGUGGUCCUUAAAAAGCCUAAA
RNAcentral lists this long non-coding RNA (238 nucleotides) under Durio zibethinus. RNAcentral's name for it is "long non-coding RNA (DZIB_LNC001172)". Lineage: Eukaryota; Viridiplantae; Streptophyta; Magnoliopsida; Malvales; Malvaceae. The record is from RNAcentral.